This 465-nucleotide ribosomal RNA is filed under the name Vreelandella stevensii. RNAcentral's name for it is "partial 16S ribosomal RNA". It matches the Rfam family "Bacterial small subunit ribosomal RNA", at positions 338 to 795 of the family's 1533-position model. Lineage: Bacteria; Pseudomonadati; Pseudomonadota; Gammaproteobacteria; Oceanospirillales; Halomonadaceae. The record is from RNAcentral.
CCUACGGGGAGCAGCAGUGGGGAAUAUUGGACAAUGGGCGAAAGCCUGAUCCAGCCAUGCCGCGUGUGUGAAGAAGGCCUUCGGGUUGUAAAGCACUUUCAGUGGGGAAGAAAGCCUUGGGGCUAAUACCCUCGAGGAAGGACAUCACCCACAGAAGAAGCACCGGCUAACUCCGUGCCAGCAGCCGCGGUAAUACGGAGGGUGCGAGCGUUAAUCGGAAUUACUGGGCGUAAAGCGCGCGUAGGCGGUCUGAUAAGCCGGUUGUGAAAGCCCCGGGCUCAACCUGGGAACGGCAUCCGGAACUGUCAGGCUAGAGUGCAGGAGAGGAAGGUAGAAUUCCCGGUGUAGCGGUGAAAUGCGUAGAGAUCGGGAGGAAUACCAGUGGCGAAGGCGGCCUUCUGGACUGACACUGACGCUAAGGUGCGAAAGCGUGGGUAGCAAACAGGAUUAGAUACCCCUGUAGUC